This 82-nucleotide transfer RNA is filed under the name compost metagenome. Its description in RNAcentral is "tRNA-Tyr". It matches the Rfam family "tRNA". Rfam says of the family: Transfer RNA (tRNA) molecules are approximately 80 nucleotides in length. The record is from RNAcentral.
GCGUAGAUGGGUGAGUGGUUAAAACCAUCGGACUGUAAAUCCGACGCGAAAGCAUCCCUGGUUCGAAUCCAGGUCUGCGCAC